RNAcentral lists this ribosomal RNA (492 nucleotides) under uncultured bacterium. RNAcentral describes it as "partial 16S ribosomal RNA". It matches the Rfam family "Bacterial small subunit ribosomal RNA", at positions 29 to 507 of the family's 1533-position model. The record is from RNAcentral.
AGUGAACGCUGGCGGUAGGCCUAACACAUGCAAGUCGAACGGCAGCACAGUAAGAGCUUGCUCUUACGGGUGGCGAGUGGCGGACGGGUGAGGAAUACAUCGGAAUCUACUUUUUCGUGGGGGAUAACGUAGGGAAACUUACGCUAAUACCGCAUACGACCUACGGGUGAAAUCAGGGGAUCUUCGGACCUUUCGCGAUUGAAUGAGCCGAUGUCGGAUUAGCUAGUUGGCGGGGUAAAGGCCCACCAAGGCGACGAUCCGUAGCUGGUCUGAGAGGAUGAUCAGCCACACUGGAACUGAGACACGGUCCAGACUCCUACGGGAGGCAGCAGUGGGGAAUAUUGGACAAUGGGCGCAAGCCUGAUCCAGCCAUACCGCGUGGGUGAAGAAGGUCUUCGGGUUGUAAAGCCCUUUUGUUGGGAAAGAAAAGCAGCAGGUUAAUACCCCGCUGUUCUGACGGUACCCAAAGAAUAAGCACCGGCUAACUUCGUG